ACUAUUGCGGUGCAGUUU
This 18-nucleotide small nuclear RNA is filed under the name Arabidopsis thaliana (thale cress). RNAcentral describes it as "snRNA_13315". Lineage: Eukaryota; Viridiplantae; Streptophyta; Magnoliopsida; Brassicales; Brassicaceae. The record is from RNAcentral.